ACUGGCAGUUUAUGGAACAGGAUCAGCUUAUGAGUCUGCUCCAUACAACCCUUCAGACGGCUCAGACCUGCAGUUACAUCAAGAUACACAAAGGGUUAAUAUUGUUUUUAGAAGACUUUUACAUGAUGAUACAUACAAUCCUGAGUAUACAAGCCUAGGGUAUGAUUAUGUCUGAUUAUUUUUCCUUUAUGGCUCACAUUUUAAUCUAUUAUAUUAGGUAUCGAUUCACAUAAAGAAGGAGGAUCCAAAUUCCUUAUCCUUUUUGCAACAAUUGGACCAAUCUGCUUCCUGCUGGUGCUUGCAUUGCUGGUGUUUGCUUGCUGGAGAAAAAGACAGAAGAAGCCGACAAACAGUGAGACUGAUGACACAUAUACUGAUCUGAAGUUGUCAGGUAUUACAAGUACAUAUGAUCAGCUGAAGCCCGAGAUCCCUGCAGACGCCAAUGUUCUAGGACCUGAUGUAGGUGCAGCUCAUGAAUAUGCAAACCUCAGACCGAAUACAUUUUCAAAAUAAGAAGAAAAUCUGUGAUAACGUUGAAAUGGUCUUUUUACACUUUUGUAGAGUUCAUAAAAUAUAUCUGCACUUGUUCUUGGCAUCAUUGAAUUAUCUCUGCUGGA
Bufo gargarizans (Asiatic toad) is the source of this 617-nucleotide long non-coding RNA. RefSeq lists it as uncharacterized. Lineage: Eukaryota; Metazoa; Chordata; Amphibia; Anura; Bufonidae. The transcript has 4 exons. The record is from RefSeq and is a predicted model, not a curated record.